AAAAAAAAAAAAAAAAAAAUACUCCCCCUAAAGAUGUCAUGACAGGAAAAAUAACAUUUAGUUGAUCCUAGAAAAAUUGAAUGAAUACCAUCAGAUUAGGCAAGAAAUUACAGCACAACCAGAGCGAUCGGCAUGUGCAAAAUCACAUACAGAUGAAAGAGCCUUCUUUGUAAAGACAUUAACUAAAGAACCUUUAUUAGUGUCUUGGAGACCUGUAACAGUUACAAAAAUGAUAUUUUGGAAAUACUCUAGCCGCUGCAUUUGACUUUCCUGCAGUUAUUUAAUAUCUCUACUGUUCAUUGAUUGAAGGUUUAUUCUGCUUUUUUUCAUACUUUCUUUCUCUUUGUUGCAACUAUAAUAGCCACAUUCAAACUCACAUAGGUGACUGCAAUAAUAACAAAAAUGACUGUGAGGUUAUGAAUAUCUGACAAAUCCCUUUGCAAAAGUUCACUCUUAUAAUUCAGUGGACAGGUGGUUGAGAAAAAAAGUGAAAAGACCGUUCCUAAAAAUGCUUAUUCAAUUAAAGCCUCAGAGAUAAAGGAGAAAACACGUGAUGUAUCCUUCAGCAAAUACUGCUUUCAGAAAAAGAGCUGAUCUUACUGUCCCGAAAAU
Molecule: long non-coding RNA, 612 nt
Filed under: Homo sapiens (human)
Lineage: Eukaryota; Metazoa; Chordata; Mammalia; Primates; Hominidae
Description: HSALNT0210043
Source: RNAcentral